RNAcentral lists this ribosomal RNA (414 nucleotides) under uncultured Pelotomaculum sp. Its description in RNAcentral is "bacterial SSU rRNA". It matches the Rfam family "Bacterial small subunit ribosomal RNA", at positions 971 to 1382 of the family's 1533-position model. Lineage: Bacteria; Bacillati; Bacillota; Clostridia; Eubacteriales; Desulfotomaculaceae. The record is from RNAcentral.
UUACCAGGGCUUGACAUCCCCUGACCGCGUAUGAAAGUACGUUUUCACCCUCGGGUGACAGGGAGACAGGUGGUGCGAUGGUUGUCGUCAGCUCGUGUCGUGAGAUGUUGGGUUAAGUCCCGCAACGAGCGCAACCCCUACGUUUAGUUGCUAACGCGUGAAGGCGAGCACUCUAGACGAACUGCCGUUGACAAAACGGAGGAAGGUGGGAUGACGUCAAAUCAUCAUGCCCCUUAUGUUCUGGGCUACACACGUGCUACAAUGGCCGGUACAGACGGACGCAAAGCCGCGAGGUGGAGCAAAUCCUAAAAAGCCGGUCUCAGUUCGGAUUGCAGGCUGCAAUUCGCCUGCAUGAAGUCGGAAUCGCUAGUAAUCGCAGGUCAGCAUACUGCGGUGAAUACGUUCCCGGGCCUU